UUGGAAAAGUAUAAACCUAAGGCAUCACCUUUACAGAAAAUAUCUUCCACGGAAACAUCUAAAGGCAAAAAUCCUUCAAAUUCAAAUUUAUCCAAUCAUUUCUUCUGCUUACUACCAUCCUAAAUCAUUUUUCUUUAGUAAGAUCUAUUAGUGUGAAGCUAUUAAGCUAUUAAUGUAUGUAUCAUAUUAAUGUAUUAAGACAUUAAGUGAGGAAGUAAAGUUGCAUUCACAGGCCUUGAACUUUUCCACAUCUCGAUUUUUACCCAUCAUCUCUGCAUAGUUCCCUAAGGCAGCCUUCAAAUGGUGAUGUUUCUUAUAAUCCAGAGUUCAGAAGUGGCUUCUCUUCAAUCUUUCUGUGGAAUUCUAAACCACGUGAUAAAGGAGCUGGUGGUGAGAAAUAAGGGAAGGCAGAGAUGAAAAGGAAUGGGCAGAAGCUUUUGGAGAGGAAUAACCACUGAGAUUGCCAUGAAGGAUUCAUUCUGACAUUCUUUUCAUGUAUUUAAGGCAAUCAAAAAAGAAUCCACAGCUAACCACGCCACAGAUCAGCCCUGGGGUUCAGAGGGAUCCUGACAGCUACUCCUCAAGAUCCUCUCUGUUGUGAUUCAUCCCCCCGGGGCCCUACAGUUUCUCCUUCCUGACUCUUACAUUUCUUUGGAUGGCAUCAUUAUUUACCUGUCUCCUCCCAUAGUUAGGUGCCAAGCACUGUGGAUUCUGCCUCUCAGUGUCCAGACACCCAUUUUCCUUCCCACUGUUCCUUCCCCAUGGAGAAGCCUGUGGCUGGCUGACAGCAGAGAGAGAUGCUCAACUUGGAGAAGGUGUUACCUGGGCCAGGUGGGGAAGGUUUGUUUGCAGAGCAAAGAAGUGAAGGAAGUAUUAACCCUUUGCAUGGCCUCCUGAGAAUCCGACAAGACGUAAAUAGCCAAGAAUAUCUGUGAAACUUCAUCACUGAGUUACAAUAUUUAUCACUGCAAGUGUGUUGUUCAUUGACACUAUAAAGCCAUGUGGAAUUAAGCAGCCUUGAAACACAAAAUGGAGAAAGGCUAAGAGCUGAGAAUUGUUGCCUUCAGGGAAAUACAAUCAAUGUCAAGCAAACAACCACCCCAAAAUGGUUAGCUUUAUCAGCAUUCAGGCCUACAGUGAACGCAAAUGUUCCAGAUCUGAGUUUCAAUUUUUAAAGAAUAAACAUAUGCAAAUGACCAUUAGUCUUAGUAGUUUUAGGGCUCAGAAUGAUCUUAUCUUGUUAACAUUCAGGGCAACUGCUUAUACCCAUUUGAAUGUCAUUUAGAGGGCUAGGAAAGACUGCUUCAACAUUUGAUGACUAAAUGGCAGGGCUCAGCCACAAUGCUCACUCCGAGAAAUGAGAAAUAGACACACCAGUAUGCUAGAUGCUGAUGCAGUUCAGGAAAUGCUACCCCAAAAUAUGGCCCCUCAGCAUACUGAGUAUUUUAAGCAGAAGGCAAUUAAGAAAACCACAAAAACAGAAAGGUCCCUCUGACCUUCUCCCACCCUCUCUCUCUUGAAGAUCCUCAUGUGACAGGUGACCUGCCAUAUAAUCAGAAGGAAGAAAUGUUACACAGAGAGGCUGAGAAGAAUCUGAGGACUUGCUAAGUUUUCCCCAGUUUAUUACCAUUAGAUCAUAUGCCUUUUUUGUUCAAUCAUACUUCUAUACAACUGUCCAUCAUUCAUUAAACCUAACCACAAAAGUAGUUUUCACUCGGUUUUUGAGUGAAGGCUCCUGUGUCACAUAAAACUUACAUUAAAUAAAUUUGUUCCACUUUU
Molecule: long non-coding RNA, 1779 nt
Filed under: Homo sapiens (human)
Lineage: Eukaryota; Metazoa; Chordata; Mammalia; Primates; Hominidae
Description: HSALNT0307057
Source: RNAcentral